This 292-nucleotide long non-coding RNA is filed under the name Mytilus galloprovincialis (Mediterranean mussel). Lineage: Eukaryota; Metazoa; Mollusca; Bivalvia; Mytilida; Mytilidae. The record is from RNAcentral.
AAGAAACUAAAAUUAAAAUAAUACAAGACUAACAAAGGCCAGAGGCUCCUGACUUGGGACAGGCGCAAAAAUGCGGCGGGGUUAAACAUGUUUGUGAGAUCUCAACCCUCCCCCUAUACCUCUAGCCAAUGUAGAAAAGUAAACACAUAACAAUACGCACAUUAAAAUUCAGUUCAAGAGAAGUCCGAGUCUGAUGUCAGAAGAUGUAACCAAAGAAAAUAAACAAAAUGACAAUAAUACAUAAAUAACAACAGACUACUAGCAGUUAACUGACAUGCCAGCUCAAGACUUC